RNAcentral lists this ribosomal RNA (1461 nucleotides) under Triticum aestivum (bread wheat). RNAcentral's name for it is "partial small subunit ribosomal RNA". The record is from RNAcentral. Lineage: Eukaryota; Viridiplantae; Streptophyta; Magnoliopsida; Poales; Poaceae.
AUGCUGGAGGCCAGGGCGCCCCCGUCCGAGGCCACCAUCACCUCGCUCACCUGCAUCGUCGUUGCAGACGCGGAGGGCGCCUACGAAGCCUUCAGGCUCGUCUCCUCCAUGCGGCAGAAGUACAGGCUCGUGCCACGCCUCGGGUCCUACAGCAUCGUGCUUGCCGCGUUCCAGCGCGCCAGAGAGGCUGGCAAGGCCUACGCGGUCGAGGCCCACAUGGCGGCCUCCGCUGCAUCGCGGGAAGAGCUCGAGCUCGCCGCGCUCCUUGAGGUUAGCGUGAAGGCCAAGGACGCAGACAAGGUGUUUGAGUAUAUGCACAAGCUGCGCCGCUGGGAGCUGGGGGGCGUUCCUCCACAAAACCUUGAUCUGGAGCUUCGACAACGCAGGCCUCCAUGUUGGGCCGAGGAGGAGAAGAAGGGGAAGAAGGGGGGCACGUCGGGGGUGCUGGUCGAGCGUGCCAUCGAGGACGUUGAUGACGGCAGCAUGGGCGAGGCCGGGGAGGAGAUCAUGGUUGAUGCUUUACCGCCUGGAUUUGUUGACCUGGAACAAGAGGGUAAGGUGGAUGUGAGAACGGAAGCGCACGCCGUGGUGCAGGAUGUCGUGGUGUCCGAAGCACCUGAGGUGCCGGAACCAGAGGUGAAGAGUGAGGAGGUGGUGGUCCGGGACACAACCAAGGUGCAUCCUGUGCAUCAACCAGAGACGAAGGCCGAUGAGGUGCAGGUCAGGGAUACGGACAAGGCUGUUCUGGUGCAGGAAAUGGAAGCAAAGGGUGAGGUGUCACGGUUUCGUGAGGCAGCUGGUGCACAGACUACAGAGUAUGAUGAUUGCAUUAAGGAUUGUGAUACGGUUGUUGAGAGGGGAAGGGAACUUCAUGCUAACUGUGCUGACUUCAAGAUGGUCUCAAGGGCACUAGCAAGGAAAGCAACUGCUCUUGUCAAUCUUGCCAAGUCUUCCAAAGACUACGAUAAGGAGUUCAUCCACGGCUUGGUGGAGCUGCUAAAGGAGAGCCUCGAUGACAUGCCCAUUGAGCUAAAUGAGCAAGGGGAGUUGACCGUCGGCUUGGUGAUGUUGCUGAAGAAGAGCAUUGUCUCGGAGAAGAAGGCGAUCGGCAAAAUCCUGCAACUUCAGGAGGACAAGGCGAAGCUCUGCCACGAGCUCGACCUGCUGAAGGAGGAGAACGCCGGCUGGAAGAAGCUGCAUGAGAAUAGUAGUUCCUCGAUGAAGAUGUUGCAGGCCGUCGUCAUAGAACAGAAGGAGGAGUUGGCAAAGCUCCGCAUCGAGCACCCGACUGCUGUCAAGGUACAUAAUGCGGCCGUGGAACAGAUGAUGAAGGCUCGCGUCGAGAAAUCCCGCGUCAUGGACACAAUGAUGAAGAUUGUGGAGGAGACGCGCAAGGAGAUGGAGGUCGUGGAGGCGAUGAAGAAGCAGUUACGACUCCGUGGCCAGCAACCCUUCAUGUAG